Molecule: ribosomal RNA, 253 nt
Filed under: uncultured bacterium
Lineage: Bacteria
Description: partial 16S ribosomal RNA
Rfam family: Bacterial small subunit ribosomal RNA
Source: RNAcentral
UACGGGGGGGGCAAGCGUUGUUCGGAAUUACUGGGCGUAAAGGGUUCGUAGGUGGCUUGCUAAGUCAGACGUGAAAUCCCUCAGCUUAACUGGGGAACUGCGUCUGAGACUGGCAAGCUUGAGUACAGGAGAGGAAUGCGGAAUUCCAGGUGUAGCGGUGAAAUGCGUAGAUAUCUGGAGGAACACCGGUGGCGAAGGCGGCGUUCUGGACUGCAACUGACACUGAGGAACGAAAGCCAGGGGAGCAAACGGG